AUCUCUCGGACACCAAUGGGGAGACUUGGAGAACCAGAAGAGGUUGCCCGUUUGGUAGCACUCCUUUGCCUUCCAGCAUCAUCUUUCAUAACGGGACAAAUUAUCUGUGCUGAUGGUGGGUUGACAGCAAAUGGGGUUUUCUUCCCAAGAUCAGACCUUUGAAAACUAAACAAGAUAAUUAAACACAGCUGGUUGCUGGGUUUUUUUAUUCAAUAAAAUUC
This is a long non-coding RNA of Hibiscus syriacus, 221 nucleotides long. RefSeq lists it as uncharacterized. NCBI's taxonomy places the organism in Eukaryota, Viridiplantae, Streptophyta, Magnoliopsida, Malvales, Malvaceae. The transcript is spliced from 3 exons. The record is from RefSeq and is a predicted model, not a curated record.